ACUUUGGCUUAGAGCAGGACUCAGCAAAGUAUAGCCCUGGGGCCAAAUUUGGCCUGCCAUCUCUUUCUUUCUUUCUCUUAAUUUAAAUUGUAUUUUUUGAAUCGGUAUUAUAUGCAAAUGGUACAACAUGCAAAAGAUAAAAAUGAAUAUACAGUUGAAAGUAACUCUCCCUCUUCCUAACUUCCAACUAUCCAGUUUCCUUCCUCAGCUGCAUCCACUCUUGCUGGAUUCCUAUGCUGCAGGAGAUGGUGCGUCCAUGUCUGUCUGCACCUGGAUGGCAUCGCCUCUCCAUCUCGAGGACGCCAUCUGGAGGGGGCAGGGCAGGGUGGCUGAUCCCCUGCAGGCCCCAGCCCUGUGACUCAGCCACCAAAGCCCAAUCUCCAGCCCAAGGGAACCAAGGGUAUCUUCUUCAUCAUCCUUCCAGUCCUCUUCCCCUUCGCCGGGCUCCAGCCUCAGCUUGGCCCUCACCUCCACUCCUCUCCCCUCUCACCCCUGCCCCCAUUCCACUUCAUCUCCCUCCCUCACCUUAGGGCACCUCUGCCUGCUCCUUAUGCUGGAGUUGAUUUUCUACAAUCUCAACUCAGCCAAGAGAUCUCAUCACCUAAAAAAGUGAUGUGAACCUUAAGAUCACAUAUGUCAUAUGGGGGUGAAGGUGGGGGUGGGAGGCACUAAGGGCAGGGCAGCAGGUGGGUCAGCCCCAGGUGCUGGCAAUAGAUGGGGGUCCAGGUCAGCAGAGAACCUAAAAACAAUAAAGCAACUGAUUAGCCCGUC
Molecule: long non-coding RNA, 771 nt
Filed under: Homo sapiens (human)
Lineage: Eukaryota; Metazoa; Chordata; Mammalia; Primates; Hominidae
Description: HSALNT0333981
Source: RNAcentral